UGUGGCAGUCCCUCCAGGGGACCAGACUCACCGUCACCCCCGCUGCCAAGAGGACCACCGAGGGCCCCAUCACCACUGCCCCCACCACCACUGGCCUCAGUGUCUUGGAAGACCCUAGGAGCUCAGCGUCCUCACCCCUGAGUGGGGGAGCUGCAGUUGGGGUGGCACUGGCUGGUGCUGUGCUCAUAAUUGCAAUUUUGGGACUGAUACUCUACCUCAGGUGGAAGAGAAGAAAAGAGGAAAAAUCACAGCGGUUGUCUCUAGAGUGAGGAUGAGGGUCAGAGAUGAAGAGCUGUGAUAGUCACUGAGGGAAUGGAAGAUGGUGUUUCAGGAUUCCACCCAGAUGAGAAGCCAGCGCUCUGUAACAGCUUCGCUGCCCGUGAUGUUUCCCCUCGCAGUAUUCAACCAUGCAGGUUUAGAAACUUCUAGAACUUGUUGGUUAGAAGUUAUGUUCCUCUGCUGGCACCAGAGACCAAAAUAACAGGGUUUACAUAAGAGUUUCUUGUUUCCCCUCGUAUAAAAGGAUGAGGAGGCGGAUGGCAGAGGCCACUGUCCUCAGGCACUCAGGCUUCCAUCUUCCUGCUCACUGUCCUGGCUACCGGCUUCUACCCUGAAGGUUGCCUCAUGAUCCAAGAUGGCUGCUCAGACUGCAGCCAUUAUUUCUGAAUCCAGGCAGGAAACAGGAGGAAGGAAGAAAGGACAAAAAGACCACAACUUCCCCUUGAAUCGUAUUGGUGAGGAUGUAGUCAUAUGUCCCACAUCUAUCAGGAGGGGAGCACACUGCUGCCCCAAAUAAAAUCAAGGUUCUGUAACUGAGUAAGAAGAAAUGAAUGGAUAUUGGGUAAGCAAAUAGCACCCCCACCAUAGGCCACAGCCAGAAUUAAAGAUGUGUCAGCUAAGUGUGGCAUAAGGACAGGGGAACAGGAGAGUUCAAGGAGCUCGUGAGAGGGGAGUGGAGAGUAGAGGAUCAGCGGGGAGCUUGGACAGCCCGAAAGAAAGUGGAUUAUUAAGGCACGAGAGUUCAUGGGGUCAACGCACAGGUAUAGCAAGCAGGAUGAUGGUAAGAGAAAGCUGGAAGGAAAGAAAGUUGUAGCAUAAAAAUGAUGCUGGAAUUUAUUAUUUCAGAGUUCUCAGUCCCAGAGAUUAAAAA
This is a non-coding RNA of Leptonychotes weddellii (Weddell seal), 1150 nucleotides long. The record is from RefSeq and is a predicted model, not a curated record. NCBI's taxonomy places the organism in Eukaryota, Metazoa, Chordata, Mammalia, Carnivora, Phocidae.